GUAGGUGGCAAGCGUUGUCCGGAAUUAUUGGGCGUAAAGCGCGCGCAGGUGGUUCUUUAAGUCUGAUGUGAAAGCCCCCCGGCUCAACCGGGGAGGGUCAUUGGAAACUGGGGAACUUGAGUGCAGGAGAGGAAAGUGGAAUUCCACGUGUAGCGGUGAAAUGCGUAGAUAUGUGGAGGAACACCAGUGGCGAAGGCGACUUUCUGGCCUGUAACUGACACUGAGGCGCGAAAGCGUGGGGAGCAAACAGGAUUAGAUACCCUGGUAGUCCACGCCGUAAACCGAUGAGUGCUAAGUGUUGGGGGGGUUUUUACCCGCCCCCCCCGUCAGUGCUGCAGCUAACGCAUUAAGCACUCCGCCUGGGGAGUACGGUCGCAAGACUG
RNAcentral lists this ribosomal RNA (383 nucleotides) under uncultured organism. Its description in RNAcentral is "partial 16S ribosomal RNA". It matches the Rfam family "Bacterial small subunit ribosomal RNA", at positions 527 to 896 of the family's 1533-position model. The record is from RNAcentral.